RNAcentral lists this ribosomal RNA (253 nucleotides) under uncultured bacterium. Its description in RNAcentral is "partial 16S ribosomal RNA". It matches the Rfam family "Bacterial small subunit ribosomal RNA", at positions 524 to 776 of the family's 1533-position model. The record is from RNAcentral.
UACGGGGGGGGCAAGCGUUGUUCGGAAUUACUGGGCGUAAAGGGCGCGUAGGCGGCCUGCUAAGUCGGAUGUGAAAUCCCUCGGCUUAACCGAGGAACUGCAUCCGAUACUGGCGGGCUUGAAUCCGGGAGAGGGAUGUGGAAUUCCAGGUGUAGCGGUGAAAUGCGUAGAUAUCUGGAGGAACACCGGUGGCGAAGGCGGCAUCCUGGACCGGUAUUGACGCUGAGGCGCGAAAGCUAGGGGAGCAAACGGG